Molecule: ribosomal RNA, 453 nt
Filed under: uncultured Leptolinea sp.
Lineage: Bacteria; Bacillati; Chloroflexota; Anaerolineae; Anaerolineales; Anaerolineaceae
Description: bacterial SSU rRNA
Rfam family: Bacterial small subunit ribosomal RNA
Source: RNAcentral
GGGCCCGCACAAGCAGCGGAGCGUGUGGUUUAAUUCGAUGUUACACGAAGAACCUUACCAGGGUUUGACAUGCAAGUGGUAGGAAGCCCGAAAGGUGACCGACCCUUCGGGGAGCUUGCACAGGUGCUGCAUGGCUGUCGUCAGCUCGUGUCGUGAGAUGUUCGGUUAAGUCCGCUAACGAGCGCAACCCUCGCUGUGUGUUAUAUGUGUCACACGGGACUGCCGGUCUUAAGCCGGAGGAAGGUGGGGAUGAUGUCAAGUCAGCAUGGCCUUUAUAUCCUGGGCUACACACACGCUACAAUGGCCAACACAAUAGGUUGCUAAGCCGCGAGGUGGCGCCAAUCCAUAAAGUUGGUCUCAGUUCAGAUUGUAGGCUGCAACCCGCCUGCAUGAAGAUGGAGUUGCUAGUAACCGCAGGUCAGCUAUACUGCGGUGAAUACGUUCCCGGGGCUU